RNAcentral lists this ribosomal RNA (899 nucleotides) under uncultured bacterium. Its description in RNAcentral is "bacterial SSU rRNA". It matches the Rfam family "Bacterial small subunit ribosomal RNA", at positions 8 to 915 of the family's 1533-position model. The record is from RNAcentral.
AGAGUUUGAUCAUGGCUCAGAUUGAACGCUGGCGGCAGGCCUAACACAUGCAAGUCGAACGGUAACAGGAAGCAGCUUGCUGCUUCGCUGACGAGUGGCGGACGGGUGAGUAAUGUCUGGGAAGCUGCCUGAUGGAGGGGGAUAACUACUGGAAACGGUAGCUAAUACCGCAUAAUGUCGCAAGACCAAAGAGGGGACGGCCUCUUGCCAUCGGAUGUGCCCAGAUGGGAUUAGCUUGUUGGUGGGGUAACGGCUCACCAAGGCGACGAUCCCUAGCUGGUCUGAGAGGAUGACCAGCCACACUGGAACUGAGACACGGUCCAGACUCCUACGGGAGGCAGCAGUGGGGAAUAUUGCACAAUGGGCGCAAGCCUGACGCAGCCAUGCCGCGUGUAUGAAGAAGGCCUUCGGGUUGUAAAGUCUUUCAGCGGGGAGGAAGGGAGUAAAGUUAAUACCUUUGCUCAUGACGUUACCCGCAGAAGAAGCACCGGCUAACUCCGUGCCAGCAGCCGCGGUAAUACGGAGGGUGCAAGCGUUAAUCGGAAUUACUGGGCGUAAAGCGCACGCAGGCGGUUUGUUAAGUCAGAUGUGAAAUCCCCGGGCUCAACCUGGGAACUGCAUCUGAUACUGGCAAGCUGAGUCUCGUAGAGGGGGGUAGAAUUCCAGGUGUAGCGGUGAAAUGCGUAGAGAUCUGGAGGAAUACCGGUGGCGAAGGCGGCCCCCUGGACGAAGACUGACGCUCAAGUGCGAAAGCGUGGGGAGCAACAGGAUUAGAUACCCUGGUAGUCCACGCCGUAAACGAUGUCAACUUGGAGGUUGUGCCCUUGAGCGUGCUUCCGGAGCUAACGCGUUAGCGACGCCUGGGGAGUACGGCGCAGGUUAAACUCAAUGAAUUGACG